RNAcentral lists this unclassified non-coding RNA (300 nucleotides) under uncultured fungus. RNAcentral describes it as "sequence contains ITS1". The stretch from base 1 to 105 matches the Rfam family "5.8S ribosomal RNA", at positions 50 to 154 of the family's 154-position model. Lineage: Eukaryota; Fungi. The record is from RNAcentral.
GAAAUGCGAUACUUGGUGUGAAUUGCAGACUUUAGUGAAUCAUCGAAUCUUUGAACGCACAUUGCGCCUUUUGGAAUUCCAUUAGGCAUGCCUGCUCGAGCGUCAUAUACUCCCUCAAGCAUUUGCUUGGUGUUGGGCGACUGUCCUCUGCAUAGCAAGGACUCGCCUUAAAGGUAUUGGCAGUUAGCUUGCCAGCUUCUUACGCAGCACUUGCGUUGUUUGAGGCUAAGUAGGUUAACGUUCCAGCAAGACACCUCUUUGAAAGACCUCGAAUUAGGUAGGGAUACCCGCUGAACUUAA